This 6179-nucleotide long non-coding RNA is filed under the name Prunus persica (peach). RNAcentral's name for it is "long non-coding RNA (PPER_LNC001752)". The record is from RNAcentral. Lineage: Eukaryota; Viridiplantae; Streptophyta; Magnoliopsida; Rosales; Rosaceae.
CCAAAAUGAAGAGAAGAAUGAGUGAGGAAAGAAAGAAAGGAAGAGAAGGAAGAAAGAGGGUGAGUAAGUAGAGAGAAAAAUAGAGUGGAGAGAAAUUUCUCCAAGAGAGAAAAAUUAGUGAGCCACAUAUAUUGUAAACACUAAAGUUGUAGCCCUAUUAUUUUACAUAGUGGAAAAGUUACUACUGCUGCUCUCCGGGGACGUAGGCAUAGCCGAACCUCGUUAAAUACUGUGUCCCAUUUACUUUACGUGCAGCUCAAUAUUCAUACAUAUUCCAGGUUAUUUUAUAACACGUUAUCAGCACGAGAAGCUCUCAGGUAUAAUUUUUGUGCUGCACUAUUAUCUAUACUACUAACCAUUAACAAAAAUGGACCCUUGGUAAUACUAAACAUAUUAUCAGUGGGAGACCGUUACUAAUACUAACAUUUUUCUCAUUUUAUUCGGUGGUGGUUUUAACCCCAUAUUUAUUUUAUUUACUGUAUGGUGUAUGUUUAUUACCCAUACAUGCACCUUUACUUUAUCGCAAAUUUACUUUACCGCACAUUUAUUUUAUUUACUGUAUGGUGUAGGUUUAUUACCCAUACAACAGUAUUUAUUUAAAAGGGUGGUGCGGGUUUAUCGUCCACGCCUUUGCUUUUAUUUAAAUGUAUGGAGCAGAAUUAGUGCCCAUACAAGCACGUUUACUUUAUCGCAAAUUUACUUUUACUUAAAGCAUUAUUUAUGGUAUGGUGUAGGUUUAUUACCCAUACGGCAAUAUUUAUUUAAAGGGUGGUGCGGGUUUAUCGUCCACGCCUUUGCUUUUAUUUAAAUGUAUGGAGCAGAAGUAGUGCCCAUACAAGCACGUUUACUUUACCGCACAUUUAAUUUUAUUUAAGGUAUGGUGCGGGAUUAACGUCCAUACAGCAAGCUAUUUAAUUUAUGAAUUUAUUUUACUGCACAUUUACAUUUAUUUAAAGUAUGGUGCGGGUUUAUCGUCCAUACCAGUAAUUUAUUUAUCAGCAAUUUAUUUUAUGGAUUGAUUGUGCUGUAUGAUGAGUUUUUUCCAGUAUGCAAAUCAGGACCAGAAGUUCCUUGAUCCUCAUCAUACAAUUACAUCAGGACUUGAAGAUCCUUGAUGAUGAUAUGAGAGCUGGCAGUCUCUCCGGUACUGUAUUUGUAAACAUGUGAUCGGACUUAAAGGUCCUUGAUCCCUGACAUGUAAAUAAGAACCUAGAGUUUCUUAAUGAUGUAACAGUACCGUAUUGGUUCAUGGUGCCGUACACAUUGAUGAUAACUGUACUGGCAGAUGGAUAGAUACGUAUUCAUGACUUGAUGAAUAGUACUAUUCACAUGAAUAGUGACGUAUGCAUAAAUAUGAACCAUUUUGGGUAAACCGUCACUAUAUACAAAAGAGAACCUGCGGUUCCUUAAACUCAUGGAUGAGCAAUUAAAUGAGAUGCCAGAAGUUCCUCAAAAUAUGGACAAUUAUGUAAGGGCUUGAAGUCCCGAAAUAUGUACAGAAAAUUGUAAAAAUGUCCAUACCAUGAGAAUAUGUGGCUUUGGACUGAAGUUCAAAAUUUAACAGUGUUGAGAACCUGAAGUUCCAACAAUUAAAUGGACAACCCUUGAUGUAUUAUUGCAAAUUGUGGUAUGCCACAUAUUUCUUUGGCAUAAGAAGAUGAUGAAUUUAAUAAAGUUCGAUUUUGUUAUAAUCGACACCUCAAGGAAGAAAUAUAUUUUGUGAAUUCCGGUUGUUAAGAAUACACCGCGAAAUGGAUAAUAUUAACCUCAAAUAAUGAAUUGAGGCUCCCCACAUAUUUUGUUAUAUCUGGGCCGGAAGCCCAUGGAUCCAAAUAUAUGAGAGAUCCUAAACUUGAAGUUGUGGGUAUAUAGUAGUUAAUGCUCUUCACUACUAUAUUGCGAUAUUAUCAUGGCUUUUACUCAAUUCACAUUUCAUGUCCAUUUGAAAAAGGCAAAUAAAUUCUGAGUUUGUGCCCAGGCCAAAAGUUCCUGGCUACUAUGAAAUUUGGGAGAGACAAUGUGGUUAUUUGAACCUAUAAGGCACAAGGUUCCAAACCGUCAUUUUGAAAAGACGUAAAAACCACAUGUGCAAGUUUAAGAAUGUGCGCAAUUAUUAUAACUGAAAAGGGGCAUACAACAGAUAGAUUUUUUCCUGCAAUGAAGGUGCAGGCCCUGUAAAAUCUAUAAAAUUACAUUAUGUUCUGGAAGCCUCUGAAGGAAGAUGACGGCGCCUCUUAAGCUUAACCAUGAGCUUCUCGUGGUCUCCCAAAAUUCUUUCAUUGGAGACCUGCAGCAUGUCUAGCCUUCUUAGUGUAUCAACUGAGUACGAACUCACCAGUUUCAACAAGGCAUUAUUCUCUCCUUUAAGUUUCUCAACCUCCUGUUGAGACUCAUGAAGCAUUCUUUGAAGAGACGAAUUUUCAGUUGUUAAAUUCUGAACCUCGUUUGCUCUAGCACGCAAACGAUCAGCCAUGUUAGAAACAGAAGCAGCACUCUGAAUGCUAGCAGCCAUUGAGUCAUCAAUAGCCUCUUCCUCAGACCUCCCUGUUAACAGCAUUUCAUCCAUUGGAGUAAUGAAAUUCCUAGCUACUAUGACAGCAGUAGCAUCAUUCAUCAUCACAGAAUCAUUAACUGUGAGAUGACGAUUUUGGGAUACAAAGGAUGGACGCCAAACUUUGGCGUCAUUGGUUGUUGUGGGAGCAUCAUUUAAAUUGAAAUAAUUUGGGCAGGAAGAAGAGGAAGCCAUUUUUAAGAAAGGUUUCGAAGAAAGUCUUAGAAAAACUAAAGGUUCAGAAAAUGAAGGAAGUUGAGUUGAAACGCAGUUGCUCCAAUCAAGUUUUGCAAAGGCCAUAUCUAUAGGAGGAAAUAUGGCUACUGUUUUUCAGGAUUCCAAUAUCUUCUCGAAUCCCCAUAUUAUCUUUUUCUUUCCCAGAGUCCAAAACUUCACGUGGCCUCUAAUAAUGCUUGUCGGCACUUUCAGCGUUUUCAAGCAUUAUUUUCAAAAGCCGAUCUUGCUUUGCGGAUUUCACGGAGCUACUUUUUCAAAAGUAUCCCGAGAAUCUCGCAAUUUUCCUAUGGUCAAUUUGAAAUUCACCGGUUCUACCUAUUCCUUUUAUUUGUGUAUAAAUGUGUUACUAACGAAAUUUUCUUUGCCGAAGACAUACAGUUUUCUCCAUACUUAGUGAUGCGAUAUCUACUUGUUUUUCUCAUCAGUGAGCACUCAAUAUGCUCGAGAAGCAAGACUAUCUCUGAUCAUCCAUUCAGGAAGCGAGACUAUCCCUGAUCACGUUUCCGUCACAUCCGGGAACUGUGAAGGCAACCAUAUGCUCUAAUCUCCGGAAGUUCUUCUAAACUAGAAGAAAUGAGAGCUUGUCGUUUGCUCCCACCAGCUUCCUUCCUUGAUUGCUGAGCAUGUUGUCUGCUCCCACCAGCUUCCUUCCUUGAUUGCUUACCUUACCUUGCAAUCAAUAUCACAAUUUUUGUAUCUUUUCUUUCUUUUUAUAACUCUCUGUUCAUAAGGGAUUUUAUUUAUUUAGAAUGAACAUCUGAAGAAAGAACCCAUGAAGUGAUCCUAACUCUGAGGGUUAUUUGUUUUUGACAGAGAAAAGCGUUGUGAUUUUGCUCUUGUAGGAUAUAACAAGAUCAUCAAGCGGUACUUUAUAUUUACUGGGCCGAUACGAGCUUGAAUGAUACUUGAGAAAAGUUUCUCCCACCUAAGGAUGUAAGCAAUACUUGUGUUAUUUUAUGCUUAUAUACCUAUUUGAUAUUUUAUCUUGAAAGGUAACCAGAUGGGGAGAUAAGUCCGUUCCAAAAGAAUGGCUUGUAUGUAUCCAUGAAUUAUUAACGCAAAUUUUACAGAUUGUAAGUUGGAUACAUUGAUAAUACACUGCACAGAUUAAAGUCUCAUAAGAACAGAAUAUGGGUAUAGCAGUGAUCAAUAUGGGUGCACGCCUGUUGCGUAGCAAAUGAUAUGGAUUGAAGUCCCGAAAGGACAAUCCUUUGACAUGUCAAUAUUGAUAUUAUGCACGCCUAAUGCGUAGCAAAUUAUAUGGAUUAAAGUCCCAUAAUAUGGGUUAAAGUCCCAGAAAUUAAUUGACAUGUAUGUAUUAAUCUGUGGCAUGCCUGCAGCAUGACAGAUAUAUGGGUUCUAAAUGUUCCAACUCCCUAAAUGGAGAUUAUCCACGCUCUACUAUAAAAUAACGCUCCAUUGGAGGUUAUAAUCCACAUUCUCACAUAAUAAAAGCCCCCUUCAGUGGCUUGGGUACCCAAAAGCAAAGAAAUGCUUAUAAUUGAUACAUGCGCAUGCACAUGAGAAUGGUGGGAUCAUGAAUUGAUGAAUGACAAUUUUUGAUUUUGGAGUAGCUACUCAAAUCAUCAAUGGGCUGUGUUAAUUGGAACCACGUUCAAUUAUUAAAUGUCGACAAUAUCAUUGGCCAAAAUGGAACGAGGUAAUUCCAUUAUAAAUGAGAAUGAACGUGAAAGAACAAACCCACAAUACGAACCCCAAAAUUUGUUAAUACUAAAAGUUAUACUUGGGUGUUCGGAAUAAAAGGAAAUAUAUCUACUUUGUAUGACACACUGUUUCUGGCAGAAACAAGGAAUGUUGGGUUUUCUCCAUAUUUACAGAUUCAAUUGUGCCCCCCUUAUUACACAAUUACGGAGACCAACAUAUUAUCUUUAAGGGUUAUUAAUGCACAGAGCAUAUCGCCAGAAGCGAUUUCCUAAAGAUGUAUAAAUAGCUGGGUAAAAACUAUAUAAUGUGUCAUAAAGUUUAAUCCCUUUUAACCAAAAUCCGUUGAAAGGAUUGAUAUUGCAUAGAGCAAGUCCCUAAAGGACAUGUGCUUGAAGCACAAAAUUUGUACUCAAUAUUAAUAUGCAUAAAUUACCUCAGCGAGUACAUUGAUUAUAAUGUGAUUGCAACACAUUAAAGCUUCUGCAGAAUUCAUGAAAUAUUUGUCUCGAUCGAGCAUUAUGCCAACGAGAUUCUUGCUUAUACUAAGAAAGUAUUAAAGUAUUUUUAUGAGGAUUAUCCGUUGGACACUUUAAUGAUUUUCCGGAAGUAUAUUGGACCGGACAUCAUAUUUUCCAAAUAGGGCUCAACUCCAUCACCAUCAUUUUGGGAUGAUGUGAGGUAUAUUUGAUGCUAUCUAAGCAUAACACCAUAUACGGGCAUAUUUUUUUUUAGUGAACUUAUAAAUAGCCCAAGUGUUCUAAGAUAUGCGGCCUCAGGAAAUCUCUAUGGUCGCUUACUGGAAAAAGCUAGUCAUGAAGUUUUCAGGGGGAGAUAUUUAUCAGGGGGAGCAUGGUAUUAAUAAAGACUUUCAUACACUAUUGACUCACAACAGCAGUGUCAACUAUGAUAUUCAGACAGAUGAUUAACAGUAUGGCUUAAAGAUAUUUUGCCAAACAUCAGGGGGAGCGUGCUGUCAAUACAGACCCUUACACACUGUACUCUUUUUCCUUCGUCCAGAUUUUUAUCCCACUGGGUUUUUCCUGGCAAGGUUUUAACGAGGCAGUGUCGCACGCGCUUCAAUAUACACAGAAUUUUAUGUUACAUGUGAUUAUGUACUCUUUUCCCUUCGACCAGUUUUUGUCCCACUGGGUUUUUACUGGCAAGGUUUUUAACGAGGCAUAUUCCAUAUCAUUUGUGGUCUCCAAGGGGGAGUGUUGUAAAAGUUUGAAGGUGGAGCCCACAGAGGGAGUUUCCUUGCAUCUUCCAGGAACUUUCCCUUCCCUGUAUUUAUCAAUUCAGGAAGUUUCCUUGCAUCUUCCAGGAACUUUCCCUUCCCUGUAUUUAUCAAUUCAGGAAGUUUCCUUGCAUCUUCCAGGAACCUUCCCUUCCCUGUAUUUUACCAAAACCUUAGCCUAUAAAUAGGCUUGCUCAUUCACUUGUAAGACACACCAAAAUGAAGAGAAGAAUGAGUGAGGAAAGAAAGAAAGGAAGAGAAGGAAGAAAGAGGGUGAGUAAGUAGAGAGAAAAAUAGAGUGGAGAGAAAUUUCUCCAAGAGAGAAAAAUUAGUGAGCCACAUAUAUUGUAAACACUAAAGUUGUAGCCCUAUUAUUUUACAUAAUGGAAAAGUUACUACUGCUGCUCUCCGGGGACGUAGGCAUAGCCGAACCUCGUUAAAUACUGUGUCCCAUUUACUUUACGUGCAGCUCAAUAUUCAUACAUAUUCCAG